AAGUUUUGGUCCUAAACUUACCCUUUGUUUUUAUCAAAAUUAUACAUGCAAGCCUCCACAUACCAGUGAGAAUGCCCAUAUAUUCCUAAACAGCAAACCGGAGCAGGCAUCAGGAUACAAUACUAACUUAGCCAACUACGCCUUGCAAAUGCCACACCCCCACGGGUCUUACAGCAGUAAUUAACAUUAAGACAUGAGCGUAAAGCUCGACUUAGUUACGAUAAAUUAUGGUCGGUAAAUCUCGUGCCAGCCACCGCGGUUAUACGAAAGACCAAAAAUAAAGGUCAACGGCGUAAAGUGUGACUGUGGAUAAAAUGCCAUUAAAGGAGAACAAGUGCCAGGUCGUAAAACACUACUGCACAUUAGAAACACAAUACACCUUUAAAACCACCUAUCUCACGAAAGUCAAGAAACAAACUGGGAUUAGAUACCCCACUAUGCUUAACCCUAAACACAGAUAGCACCAACACAAAACUAUCCGCCAGAGAACUACAAGCGAAAAGCUCGAAACUCCAAGGACUUGGCGGUGCUUCAAAUCAACCUAGAGGAGCCUGUCCUAUAAUCGAUACCCCCCGUUUCACCUUACCCCUUCUAGCUAAUCAGCCUAUAUACCGCCGUCGUCAGCCUACCUUAUGAAAGAAAUAAAGUGAGCAAAAAAGUUAAUAACUAAUACGUCAGGUCAAGGUGUAGCACACGAAGUGGUAGAGAUGGGCUACAUUUUUCCAAAGGAAAAACACAGACAAUGAACUGAAACACACACUUGAAGGCGGAUUUAGUAGUAAAAUAACUAAGAAUAUUCAUUUUAAACCUGCUCUGAAGCGCGCACACACCGCCCGUCACCCUCAUCA
Molecule: non-coding RNA, 848 nt
Filed under: Calyptotis temporalis
Lineage: Eukaryota; Metazoa; Chordata; Lepidosauria; Squamata; Scincidae
Source: RNAcentral